UGUGCGCGCAUGCACCUAAAGUGAAGCAAAGCGCAUCCGGCUGUGAUUUAAUGCUACCCCGUUGUCAUAUUUGCAGGAAAAUAGCUUCGGUGAAGUCUGCUGUCAAGUUACUGGACACGUUGUAUUUGCACAACACUUCUGAAUCCGCAGCUUCGGUGUUUUAAGGCUGUUUCGAUAUGGAGAAGAAGUGGGAAGAGAUUUACGCGUUUAUUUCUGCGGGCUCCAACCCUUCAGGAUAUGACAAGGCUCAGAGGCAAAACCUCAGAAGAUAUGCCUCAAAAUUCCAACAAAAGGAUGGAGAACUCUUUGUUGGAACCAGAAGAGUAGUAAAAACCAUGGAUGAUGCCAGGAAGAUAUUUCAUGAGUUUCAUUCAUCUCCAAUUGGAGGACACACUGGCACACACAAAACGCUAAAUGCAGUGUGUUCCAGAUUUUACUGGUUUGGUAUGAUAGUUGACAUUAAAACAUGGGUAUGUAUUAACUGUUUGCAUUGUUGUUAAAUGCCGUUUAAAAUAAGAAUUUUUUUUUUAUAUCAGUUAAAAGAGAAACUGUACGCUUGCAAAAUAUAAAUAAAUAUGAUUAAUUAGUGAUAUUACAGUAAUAACCUGUAGGCCUGGCAGAGAUUUGAAGACACACACAAAGUUUUGCUGCUAAAUUGUUUGUUCGUUAGAGAAUAUAUCAUUAAUGAUGUUUUUGUUUUUUGUUUUUUAUAAAUGAGAAUGUUGAACAUUUACGUGAACUCCAUAAAUAUUUUUACCUUAAAGAUUCUAGAAUGUGACCAGUGUCAAAAAGUUGGGAAACCACUGACUGCUGUGCAACCGUUGCAGUGUAUUCAGGUGUCUGAAGUGUGGGAACUUAUUGGUAUAGAUCUUACUGGACCUCUUCCUAAAACGUCAAGCGGCUUCCAGUAUAUACUUACUGCAACUGACUACUUUUCAAAAUGGGUUGAAGCUUUCCCAUUAAAAACGAAAUCUGCAUCUGAGGUAGCCAAUGAGAUGAAAAGACCAAUGACAACAUAAAAAGAGCCCUCCGAAAACUGGUGAAUGACCAGCAGAAUAACUGGGAUCUGUAUCUAGAUCCCACCCUGUUUUCACUGCGGUCAAAAGUACACACCACAACAAAAUACUCACCUUUUUUUCUGAUGUAUGGAAGAGAGGCAGUAUUUCCAUCAGAAGUGCCUGCUCAAGUGCCGGUGAGUGUUUGUCAAAUUCUUUCUAUGUUAGAACUAAGAAUUGAAACCAUUUAAGUAAAAAACCCAGUAAUGUCUUUAUGAAUAUGAUAUCAUCUUGUUUUAAUUGCUAAUAUCUACAAAAUUUUAGAUUUCCAACAUCAUUCUGCCAGACGACAAAAGGUACAGUGACUAUGUACAGUCUGAAAGUGAAGCACAACAUGCAGUUAAAGAAACUGCGCAAGAAAACAUUGCGAAGUCACAAGACAAGCAAAAGGUUGCAUACGCCAAGCAGGUCCUGAAAAAGUACAAAAAUGUUGUGUACAAUGUAGGGGAUCAAAUUCUGCUUCUAAAUAUGAGGAAACGUGGGCGAAAAGGAGGAAGACUUGAACCGGAUUUUUCAGGUCCCUACACAAUUGAUGACAUCAGUGGAAAAUGUGUUGGACCGAAAAACGCUGAGGGAAAUACUUUAAAAAGUCUAUACAGUAUUGACCACAUUAAACCUUAUAGAACAAGCCACCCUGUCCAAGUCUCAACUCCAACUGAACCUGUUGAGAGUAGCCCAUCUUCUGAGAUGCAGCCUUGCAGUCCUCAGCAUCAUCCUGAAGCGCUGCAAAAUAACAGACCCUCUGUCAUACAGUUUGCACCAAAAAUAGCUCAGGUAAAAUCAGUCCAAGCACCAGAAGAGCUUGUACCAGUGACCCCCCAGAAACCCAGCACGCAAGAAAAAGGUGGCAUAGCUAAAAAUCUCAUUCUGACCGGUUGGUCAAUUGUUGCCAGUUUGGCUAGUCGAAUGGAUAGAAUUUUUUUUUUUCUCCCCUCUUGCUAAUUUUGACCUGUUGGUCCAAUUUUGGCUAAUUUCUCCCCUCUGGCAUGGUUAUUUUGUUGGCCCGUUGGCCCUUGUCUGUUUGUGGCCCGUUGGCCAUUGACCGUGAUUUUCAAAUGGCAACUGUUAUUACUAAAGAAACUUAUCAUAUUUUGUUUUUUAGUGAAGUGGCUUUGGGCUGCAAAAGACACCGGGCGUGUGGAGGCAGUCGUUGGGCCAUACAAAUUGUAUGACUCUUCUUUUCGCACACUGGAGGACAGUGGGUGGCUUUCUGAUGAGGUCAUUGAUGGAUACCUGCACUGCCUCAUUAGGAAACAAAAGGCAAGUAAGAACGUAUGCCAGUUAUUUCACAAAAGCAUUUUAUACAAUUAUGUAAUCUUUUAAAAAAACCUCUUGCAUUUUUCAGGAACCCGUGUAUCAG
Molecule: RNA transcript, 2415 nt
Organism: Oreochromis niloticus (Nile tilapia)
Lineage: Eukaryota; Metazoa; Chordata; Actinopteri; Cichliformes; Cichlidae
Exons: 7
Source: RefSeq, a predicted model, not a curated record